Molecule: ribosomal RNA, 509 nt
Filed under: uncultured Gammaproteobacteria bacterium
Lineage: Bacteria; Pseudomonadati; Pseudomonadota; Gammaproteobacteria
Description: bacterial SSU rRNA
Rfam family: Bacterial small subunit ribosomal RNA
Source: RNAcentral
UGCCGCGUGUGUGAAGAAGGCCUUCGGGUUGUAAAGCACUUUCAGCGAGGAGGAAAGGUUAGUAUUUAAUAAAUACUAGCUGUGACGUUACUCGCAGAAGAAGCACCGGCUAACUUCGUGCCAGCAGCCGCGGUAAUACGAGGGGUGCAAGCGUUAAUCGGAAUUACUGGGCGUAAAGCGUGCGUAGGUGGUUUGUUAAGCAAGAUGUGAAAGCCCCGGGCUCAACCUGGGAACUGCAUUUUGAACUGGCAAGCUAGAGUAUUGUAGAGGGUAGUGGAAUUUCCAGUGUAGCGGUGAAAUGCGUAGAGAUUGGAAGGAACAUCAGUGGCGAAGGCGGCUACCUGGACAAAUACUGACACUGAGGCACGAAAGCGUGGGGAGCAAACAGGAUUAGAUACCCUGGUAGUCCACGCCGUAAACGAUGUCAACUAGCCGUCUGUAGACUUGAUCUGUGGGUGGCGUAGCUAACGCGCUAAGUUGACCGCCUGGGGAGUACGGCCGCAAGGUUA